GAAGAAGAAAAAGAAGAAAGUAUUGUCACUGUUCAGCCUUUUCAAGAUGAGUCACCCAGCAGAUAUGCUGACUCUAGGUGACCUCUACCGGCAGCAUAUCCCCCAACAGAAGGAGACUCCCAGGCUUGGCAUUAAUACCUGCCAGGUGAGUAAGCUGGGCUGAGUUUCAUAUAUUUUCAGAGCACCUCUAGAUUGACUUAAGUCAAAAGAUGUGCAGGGCAGAGGCUAGCCUUGGUGAAGGCCAUCACUCUUUAAAAGUUUAUAUAUUGUCUGCCCAACUAGACUCCUUGAGAGGCUGUGUCUUGUUUUCUGGACAGUCUGUUGG
This 325-nucleotide long non-coding RNA is filed under the name Homo sapiens (human). Its description in RNAcentral is "HSALNT0169429". The record is from RNAcentral. Lineage: Eukaryota; Metazoa; Chordata; Mammalia; Primates; Hominidae.